Molecule: ribosomal RNA, 254 nt
Filed under: uncultured bacterium
Lineage: Bacteria
Description: partial 16S ribosomal RNA
Rfam family: Bacterial small subunit ribosomal RNA
Source: RNAcentral
UACGUAGGCAGCGAGCGUUGUUCGGAGUUACUGGGCGUAAAGGGUGUGUAGGCGGUUGUUUAAGUUUGGUGUGAAAUCUCCCGGCUCAACUGGGAGGGUGCGCCGAAUACUGAAUGACUUGGAGUGCGGGAGAGGAAAGUGGAAUUCCUGAUGUAGCGGUGAAAUGCGUAGAUAUCAGGAGGAACACCGGUGGUGUAGACGGCUUUCUGGACCGUAACUGACGCUGAGACACGAAAGCGUGGGUAGCAAACAGG